CAUGAGGAGAAAGGAUGAACACCACUGAGAGAUGCUAAGUUGUAAACCAGUAGAAAUGUAUAGUCUAGCAAACUAUAUACUGUAAUCAAUUGACACGUACGGUCAUCACCAUUUCAUGAAGUGUUUGAUGGUGAUACAGAGAAAGUGGAAGAGGGGACCAGUGGUCACUCUCUCUCUCCCUUCAUGAUCCCUCAUCGUUCCAAUGGAAACCUAAACCGAGAAUAGAAACCUACACCGGUAGCUGAGGCUCAAGGGGCCCAAGAAUACUAGGGCCAAGGCCCCAUGAAAUUCUUUAAAAGCUUAUAAAACGAAAAAGUAAGUGCAAUCUGAGAGAGAGAAAGAUAGAGCUUACAAAUAGAGAUGGUUGCUACUAUUCCGGCUGUUGGGUCUGAGCCGCUCUUUUGGGGGGAGUAAUUCUGAUAAGAAUAGCUUGGCCUUGAUGUGUUAAUAGUUAUGGUUGGUGGAAGGUAAGGAAGGUAGAAUGGAGGUGGGGGAGCUCGAGCCAUAGCCACUGCUAGAAAGAGAGAUGCUUCUGUGUGUGUGUGUGAGGGAGAGAGUGUGCACAGAGAAAGAUGCUACUGUGUGUGUGAGAGAAAUAAAAAGAAAACUACAACGGUGCUUUCAAUUGCUUGGCCGGCCAGGACAUGAAUAUUCCUGUUUGGCUAACUCAUUCCAAACUGGAAACGGUUAAGAUUACGGCCGCGGUGUUUUGCAAGCCAUACC
This 723-nucleotide long non-coding RNA is filed under the name Amborella trichopoda. RNAcentral describes it as "long non-coding RNA (ATRI_LNC002987)". Lineage: Eukaryota; Viridiplantae; Streptophyta; Magnoliopsida; Amborellales; Amborellaceae. The record is from RNAcentral.